UUUCUUUCUUCUUCAUUCUAUUUCAUUUCAGUCCUCUUUAUCUAUAUUUUCAAUUUCAAUUGUUUCUCUUUUUCCUUGCAUUCAUGCUACUUGUUUUAAGUUUUCCUUUUUGUCAUUUAGAAUUAGAGGUUUGAAAUGGCAAAUUCUGCUAAUUCUUAUUCUCUAUGCAUGCAGAUUAUGCUCCUGAGGUGAGUUGUCACUUGGCUUAUGUGACAAAGAAUGUUCGAGUUCCGGUGGUAGAAUAUCAAGGAGAUCAAAUCAGUAGAAAGGGUUGAUUUCAGAUUCUCCAAUUUCUAAGCCGCCCUUCAGGUACAUUGCACAUUCUUUUCACACCCUUUCAACUUUAGAUCCGUUUAUUGAAAAAAUAAUUUCAGUGUUCUACUUUUGUUUAAUUUAUUUAGCAGUUGUUUAAUAAUGGGAUAUAAACUCUGAAAAUAGUUCACCUCUAUAUUCAAUUUUUUAAUUGAUUUAUGUUUCUCCUAAUUUUGCAUUUGUAGCGACUUGGUGCCCACUACGGUGUUAAUUUAAGUACUUUUUUAUGGCAUUCGAUAUAGAAAUGUGGGUGUCUUAGCUUUUCUCUUUGCUGGCAAUAUAAACUGAACUAGGAUAUCCCACUUUGUCGUAGGCAUAAUAUAAACUUAUCUGAUACGGAUUAAUUGCUUUUGAUUCUACAUUUAUGGGUCAUAUCUGAAUUUGCCUAUUGAUUUUCUCAUUGUGGAUUAGCUUCGCUUGAUAUUCUGAUUGUGGUUUUCCCAAGGAUUAAGUACGCAUUUGGCUUUAGGUUAUUUUGGAAGUAUAUUUUUGGGGCAGUUGAAUUUUAUGAAUAUGUACUGCCUUUGCAAUAAAAUAGAAAUUUCAUUGUAUUUUGAUUUAAUUACUUGCAUACAUUAUUAAACUCUGAAGUAAUCUGCGUUGGACAGGAGAACCCAUGAAGAUAUGCACUUGUUCAAUAUAAUGUUGAAUCAAGAAAUCAGAUGGUUGUCAGCGCAGGUAUCUUCAUUUUCAUGGUUGCAGACAGAAUCACCAACAGCAUCAAAGAAAAUAUAAAAGGCAAGUCCUCUUAACAUUCAAAGUAUAAUUUUUCUCUGUUGAUGUGGGUGCAGUAUAAUGUAUAUUUUGUGGCGUCUUCUCUCUUGCAUAUAUUGUUAAUUUCUCUAUCUGUAUCCGAUGUAGCCUCUCUGUUUCUAGAGUUAUUUGUGCAAUCAUUCUUCUAAGUGUUGUUUUGAGGUGAUAACUAGCAAUAUAUCGCUUUUAAUAACUAUCGAAUACAAAUUAUUUCUUAGAAAAUAUUUUUCACCAAGCAUUUUUGAUGAUUUUCUUCAGAAAAGAUUCCAACAAAGUAUUCAAAUACUAUUAAAGUUUUCCAUUCAUUUGUUCCGGCGACACGAAAUAAGAAUGUUGUUUCAACCCUGCAGGAGCAUUUUUGGAAACUUUAUCACCUAUAAUAUCUUCUUAGUUCAUUCGAUGAUAAAUGAUUAAUUCAAGGUCAAAAGAUUUCUGCAUUAUUAAUCAUAGAUAUCAAACUACUACCUUUAUAUCUACGGUAGUGUUGCAGAUCAACAAAAUAAAACAAUCCUAAUUUUCUCCAUAUGAGAGAGCAUAUUUGGAGAUGAAGCUUUAUUGGAAUCAAAUCAAUCAGCCAUGUUCACCAUUAUUUAAGAAUAACAUUGUAUUUUUGUCUUCAAAUAUUUAAAAAACAAGGGAAUCUUGAAAAGUUUCAUAGCACAUUAAACAAAAAGAUGAUUUUUCUUGUUUCCAAAUACCAAAUUUCAAACAUUGAAAGGUGUAGAGUCAAGCUAAUCUCAGGAUUCAGAGCUUUGUAAUGGUUGCAAUUUAUGGUUAAAUGUGUAAAUUAUUGAAAUAAUUUUAUUUGUAUAACUUGGAUAAUUUUUACGUGUUGUUGACAAAGCUAUGAUGAUUGUUUCCCUCUAUUGGUAAUUCGUAUUUCUUCUUACCCUUUCCAUACAUUUUAAAGUUCCUCCCAAUAUAAAACAUGUGAUUGUAAUUAUUUUUUUGUGUUCUCUUGCGAAAAGGUUUUUUUUGAAGACAGAGCAUGGAAAGUGACCAUUUCAUGUAUUAGUACCACCAUUCUUCAGAAUAUCUGUCCUUACUUAUUGUUGAGAUACAAGAUAUUACAUGAUUUAGAUUUGUAUAUACU
RNAcentral lists this long non-coding RNA (2158 nucleotides) under Nicotiana benthamiana. Its description in RNAcentral is "long non-coding RNA (NBEN_LNC020511)". The record is from RNAcentral. Lineage: Eukaryota; Viridiplantae; Streptophyta; Magnoliopsida; Solanales; Solanaceae.